GCCUCGGUAGCUCAGUCGGUAGAGCAGAGGACUGAAAAUCCUCGUGUCGGUGGUUCGAUUCCGCCCCGAGGCACCA
RNAcentral lists this transfer RNA (76 nucleotides) under Heliobacterium chlorum. RNAcentral describes it as "tRNA-Phe". It matches the Rfam family "tRNA". Rfam says of the family: Transfer RNA (tRNA) molecules are approximately 80 nucleotides in length. Their secondary structure includes four short double-helical elements and three loops (D, anti-codon, and T loops). Lineage: Bacteria; Bacillati; Bacillota; Clostridia; Eubacteriales; Heliobacteriaceae. The record is from RNAcentral. RNAcentral also lists the same sequence under 20 other names.